GAUGAAGAACGUAGCGAAAUGCGAUAAUUAAUGUGAAUUGCAGAAUUCCGUGAAUCAUCGAGUCUUUGAACGCACAUUGCGCCUCAUGGCAUUCCGUGAGGCAUGCCCAUCUCAGCGUUAGAAAAUAUUCUCAAAUUUUAGUUUUGUGCUAAAAUUUGGAUCAUGUCAAGGAAGCUAUUACUAUUAUUGUGAUCGCUCUUUGGAAAUUGAUAGGUCUUUGAGUUGCUACUCAUAGAACGUGAUGAAUCUUUCUUCGUUCUAUUGUAAUUCACUCUGGUAGUCCUAAAACUUGUAUGCCUGUGGCAUAUCUUGUAAUUUGACCUGAGAUUGGGUAGGGAUAUCCGCUGAACUUAAGCAUAUCAAUAAGCGGAGGA
Molecule: unclassified non-coding RNA, 374 nt
Filed under: soil metagenome
Description: partial internal transcribed spacer 1
Rfam family: 5.8S ribosomal RNA (bases 1-120)
Source: RNAcentral